This 497-nucleotide ribosomal RNA is filed under the name uncultured bacterium. RNAcentral describes it as "partial 16S ribosomal RNA". It matches the Rfam family "Bacterial small subunit ribosomal RNA", at positions 28 to 507 of the family's 1533-position model. The record is from RNAcentral.
GAUGAACGCUGGCGGCGUGCCUAAUACAUGCAAGUCGAGCGAACAGACGAGGAGCUUGCUCCUCUGACGUUAGCGGCGGACGGGUGAGUAACACGUGGAUAACCUACCUAUAAGACUGGGAUAACUUCGGGAAACCGGAGCUAAUACCGGAUAAUAUAUUGAACCGCAUGGUUCAAUAGUGAAAGACGGUUUUGCUGUCACUUAUAGAUGAAUCCGCGCCGCAUUAGCUAGUUGGUAAGGUAACGGCUUACCAAGGCAACGAUGCGUAGCCGACCUGAGAGGGUGAUCGGCCACACUGGAACUGAGACACGGUCCAGACUCCUACGGGAGGCAGCAGUAGGGAAUCUUCCGCAAUGGGCGAAAGCCUGACGGAGCAACGCCGCGUGAGUGAUGAAGGUCUUCGGAUCGUAAAACUCUGUUAUUAGGGAAGAACAAAUGUGUAAGUAACUGUGCACGUCUUGACGGUACCUAAUCAGAAAGCCACGGCUAACUACGUG